This 492-nucleotide ribosomal RNA is filed under the name uncultured bacterium. Its description in RNAcentral is "partial 16S ribosomal RNA". It matches the Rfam family "Bacterial small subunit ribosomal RNA", at positions 29 to 507 of the family's 1533-position model. The record is from RNAcentral.
AGUGAACGCUGGCGGUAGGCCUAACACAUGCAAGUCGAACGGCAGCACAGUAAGAGCUUGCUCUUACGGGUGGCGAGUGGCGGACGGGUGAGGAAUACAUCGGAAUCUACUUUUUCGUGGGGGAUAACGUAGGGAAACUUACGCUAAUACCGCAUACGACCUACGGGUGAAAGCAGGGGAUCUUCGGACCUUGCGCGGAUGAAUGAGCGGAUGUCGGAUUAGCUAGUUGGCGGGGUAAAGGCCCACCAAGGCGACGAUCCGUAGCUGGUCUGAGAGGAUGAUCCGCCACACUGGAACUGAGACACGGUCCAGACUCCUACGGGAGGCAGCAGUGGGGAAUAUUGGACAAUGGGCGCAAGCCUGAUCCAGCCAUACCGCGUGGGUGAAGAAGGCCUUCGGGUUGUAAAGCCCUUUUGUUGGGAAAGAAAAGCAGCAGGUUAAUACCCCGCUGUUCUGACGGUACCCAAAGAAUAAGCACCGGCUAACUUCGUG